This is a long non-coding RNA of Pimephales promelas (fathead minnow), 409 nucleotides long. RefSeq lists it as uncharacterized. Lineage: Eukaryota; Metazoa; Chordata; Actinopteri; Cypriniformes; Leuciscidae. The record is from RefSeq and is a predicted model, not a curated record.
GGGAGCAACACUGUUCAUGCAAAGCUGGCAAACCACAAUGCAGCUCCUAAACAGAAACAAGCAGGGGAAGCACAAGCAUUUUGGAACUAAUGAAGAAGAUGAAAAUAAUAACCAACACUAACAUCAACUCAUAUUUGCAAAGCAUGUCGAUCAAAAACAAGAAAUUGGGUUGAAGUGACCACAGUGAUGCAGUUGAUGUAUAAUCCUAAUAUACUCCUACUUAUUUUCCAGUAUAUGGCAUAUCUAAGUGCUUUUGUUUUUGUUUUCUGGCACCUGGCCAGAGCAUAUAAACAUUUAGCACAACAAUAUCAUUAUCUUGUUAUGUGCAUUCAACACUGAACUGGGGUAAAAAAAAAAAAAAAAAAGGAUUCCAAAGUUAUUUGUCAUUAGUAUAAGCCUACCUUAGAAU